AAGCCUUCGGGCGGAACAUGUUUAACUUAGUGGCGGACGAGUGAGUAACGCGUGAGCAACCUGCCUUACAGAGGGGGACAACAGUUGGAAACGACUGCUAAUACCGCAUGAAGUGCCGGGGAGGCAUCUCCCUGAUACCAAAGAUUUAUCGCUGUAAGAUGGGCUCGCGUCCGAUUAGAUAGUUGGUGAGGUAACGGCUCACCAAGUCGACGAUCGGUAGCCGGACUGAGAGGUUGAACGGCCACAUUGGGACUGAGAUACGGCCCAGACUCC
Molecule: ribosomal RNA, 273 nt
Filed under: uncultured Oscillospiraceae bacterium
Lineage: Bacteria; Bacillati; Bacillota; Clostridia; Eubacteriales; Oscillospiraceae
Description: partial 16S ribosomal RNA
Rfam family: Bacterial small subunit ribosomal RNA
Source: RNAcentral